UACGUAGGGGGCAAGCGUUGUCCGGAAUCAUUGGGCGUAAAGAGCGUGUAGGCGGCUCGCAAAGUCUGGUGUGAAAACUUGAGGCUCAACCUCAAGCUGUCACUGGAUACUGGCGGGCUUGAGUCCGGAAGAGGAGAGUGGAAUUCCUGGUGUAGCGGUGGAAUGCGUAGAUAUCUGGAGGAACACCGGUGGCGAAGGCGGCAUCCUGGACCGACACUGACGCUGAGGAGCGAAAGCCAGGGGAGCAAACGGGG
RNAcentral lists this ribosomal RNA (254 nucleotides) under uncultured bacterium. Its description in RNAcentral is "partial 16S ribosomal RNA". It matches the Rfam family "Bacterial small subunit ribosomal RNA", at positions 524 to 777 of the family's 1533-position model. The record is from RNAcentral.